RNAcentral lists this unclassified non-coding RNA (378 nucleotides) under plant metagenome. RNAcentral describes it as "partial contains 5.8S ribosomal RNA, internal transcribed spacer 2, and large subunit ribosomal RNA". The stretch from base 1 to 105 matches the Rfam family "5.8S ribosomal RNA", at positions 50 to 154 of the family's 154-position model. The record is from RNAcentral.
GAAAUGCGAUAAGUAAUGUGAAUUGCAGAAUUCAGUGAAUCAUCGAAUCUUUGAACGCAUCUUGCGCUCCUUGGUAUUCCUUGGAGCAUGCCUGUUUGAGUAUCAUGAAAUCUUCAAAGUAAAUCUUUUGUUAACUCAAUUGGUUUCUACUUUGGUAUUGGAGGUCUUUGCAGCUUCACACCUGCUCCUCUUUGUUCAUUAGCUGGAUCUCAGUGUUAUGCUUGGUUCCACUCGGCGUGAUAAGUUAUCUAUCGCUGAGGACACUCUAAAAGGUGGCCAAGGUAAAUGCAGAUGAACCGCUUCUAAUAGUCCAUUGACUUGGACAAUACUUUUAUGAUCUGAUCUCAAAUCAGGUAGGACUACCCGCUGAACUUAAGC